CAGUCGCCGCGGGAACACGGAGGGCGCGAGCGUUACCCGGAUUUACUGGGCGCAAAGGGCGUGUAGGCGGCCUGGGGCGUCCCAUGUGAAAGGCCACGGCUCAACCGUGGAGGAGCGUGGGAUACGCUCAGGCUAGAGGGUGGGAGAGGGUGGUGGAAUUCCCGGAGUAGCGGUGAAAUGCGCAGAUACCGGGAGGAACGCCGAUGGCGAAGGCAGCCACCUGGUCCACUUCUGACGCUGAGGCGCGAAAGCGUGGGGAGCAAACCGGAUUAGAUACCCCCGUAGUCCCUGUCUCUUAUAC
This 301-nucleotide ribosomal RNA is filed under the name uncultured bacterium. Its description in RNAcentral is "partial 16S ribosomal RNA". It matches the Rfam family "Bacterial small subunit ribosomal RNA", at positions 509 to 807 of the family's 1533-position model. The record is from RNAcentral.